RNAcentral lists this long non-coding RNA (7022 nucleotides) under Hordeum vulgare. RNAcentral describes it as "long non-coding RNA (HVUL_LNC007764)". The record is from RNAcentral. Lineage: Eukaryota; Viridiplantae; Streptophyta; Magnoliopsida; Poales; Poaceae.
CAUGGAUAAAAACAUAGAUCUGAUCAUAAACUCAAAGUUCAUCGGAUCCCAACAAACACACCGCAAAAAUACUUACAUCAUAUGGAUCUCCGCAGAAAGAGGAAGCCAUCUAGCUACUAACUACGGACCCUUAGGUCUACAAAGAACUACUCACGCAUCAUCGAAGAGGCACCAAUGGACAUGAUGAAUCCCUCCGUGAUGGUGUCUAUAUUGGAUCUGGUGUUUCUUGACUCUACGGCGGCUGGAAUUGAUUUUCCGCCCCCCUUCUUAGGGUUUCUGGAAUAUUUGGGUAUUUAUAGAGCAAAGAGGCGGUGCGGGAGGCCAACGAGGAGGGCACAACCCAUCGGGGCGCAUCUGGCCCCCGGGGCGUGCCCUGGUGGGUUGUGCUCCCAUCGGAGCUCCCUUGAGGUGCGUUCCUGGCCCACUGGAUGUCUUCUGGCCCAAAAAAAUCCACAAAAAGUUUCACUGCGUUUGGACUCCGUUUGGUAUUGAUUUCCUGCGAUGUAAAAAACAUGCAGAAAACGACAACUGGCACUCGGCACUAUGUCAAUAGGUUAGUACCAAAAAAUGAUAUAAAAUGAUUGUAAAACAUCCAAGAAUGAUAAUAUAACAGCAUGGAACAAUAAAAAUAUAUAGAUACGUUGGAUAUGUAUCAACUUCCUUUGAUGUUUUUAGGGUAGAUGAGAAUUUAUAAGCCAAAGAACGGAGUGAGGAGGGCCACGAGGGAGCCACAAGCCAUCAGGGUGCCCCACCAAGGUCGCGCCCUGUUGGCUUGUGGGGCCCUUGUGAGGCCUCCACGCUUCGUCCAAUGCUCAUUGGUCUUUGUUUCGUACAGAAACAUUCACCAAAAAAUUUCAAGGCAAUUGCAAUUCGUUUGGUAUGGAAAACCUGAAAAGUGAAAAACAUGCAGAAAAUAGCAACUGGCACUGGGAAGUGGAUCAAUAGGUUAGUGCUCAAAAAUAAUAUAAAUUGGUAAAUAAAUACCCUAAAAGUAUUCUAGAAUGAUAAUAUAUCAGCAUGGAACAAUCAAAAAUUAUAGAUACGUUGGAGACGUAUUAGUAUCGAGUACAGAGUUGAUCUAUCUCGAGAUCGUAUGUUGUGGUCCUAACCUUAGGAGUAAUGAACGUAAUCUGUCCUAUGAACUAAAGCCCUCUGGUUUACAUAGAUACGAGGGGUGCUAGGGUUACACAACGUCGGUUACAUCAAGGAGGGAACAUGCCGACCACCACAUGACCAUGGAGUACAUGCCAAGUCUUUGGAAGAGUCCGUCUCGAAUACAACAUCACUUCAUUUAUUCGGAGUCCAAUAAUGAUGAUAGAACGGCCCAGACUCCGACCCAUUGAAAUAGGUAAGCGGCCCGAGGACCCCUUCGUCCCAGACUCCCUUAGCGGGGCGGGCUGGUGCAGAUCCGGUAACGCGGCGGUCGUGGUCUGGCUGGUGGUGCGGGGUGGCGGCAUGGUGACCUCCCUUCUCCUGAGUUGGGGCCGGUGGCGUGCGGGGCUGGUCGGCUGCACACACGAUGACGACUCCGCUGACCUAGGUUUUGUGCUCGGGUGGGACGGAUGUUGGCCCGAGGCGGAUCGGAGUGUUCUCCGGGUAGGUGAGGUUUAGGCUCGGUCGGGAUGUACCCGUGAGUGUUGUCCUGGCGGGUGCAGUUGAUGGUGUUGGUGGUCCUGACUCUGCUUCUUCGUCGUGUCGUGCAACACCGAUGAUCUCGGAUUUGCGUCGUGCAAGCUCAGCUGGGCGACGGUCGUCGGCAGUCCUAGGGUCGUGUCCCCGGGUCCAUCGAGGCUGGCUGGGGAUACAGGCGUAGGCGCCUCGUAUUAUGGAGGUGCUGACCCAGAUGGACUGAUGUCGGGCUAGGUGUGGAAGGGCGGCCUUCUACCCUACCUGUCGGUUUUGGUGUGUUGUGUGGUGGAUGGCGGAUGGGGUCCUGGGACAGGGAUGCCGGGGUAGCGGCCCAGGGAGGUGGUCCCCAUGAGUGGCUCUCCGGCGUGGCUCAUGGCGGCGAUGGUGGCUUCUCCUCUUGGUGGUGUGGGCAGCGAGAGGUCUAGCGGCAGGUGGCUCGGGCACGUCACUCGUGGCGGUGCCCGCAUCUAGACCUGGGAGUUGGAUUGUGUCAUGUAUGUCAUGGAUAUCUCCGUGUGACAUGGAUGAGUUACCGAGCGAAAGCACCGCACUUUGGCACAGACGACGGCAAUGCCCGUGGAUGCCAUUUUCUUCUUGAAGACGUCAUUGUGGUUCUCCUCUCUGUAUCCAGGCUCCGGGUGAAGACCCUUGUCCAUUCCAUACUCGGCAGCAGCGAUGCUCUGCGCCGUUCUCCCUCAUGUGGGCAUUGUCGCGGAGCAUGGGUGUGCUAGGCGUGGCGUGGCGUUGUACUCUGUCUUUCCUUUGUUCUUAUUUGGUAGCGUAUUCUAUCCGUAUAGAUCCCAGGAUUUGCUCCGUAAGGGGUUACCUCUCCACUUUGUAUCAUUCGACUGUAUACUUUGAUUGUUGCUUUAUAUAUAAAGCGGGGCGUGAGCCUAUUCCGAGAGGCUUAGCUUUUCUACUGAUUGCAACACCAAACUAACAGCCCAACACGAACCAACUUGCGGUUGGAUGGUUAGAGUGACUAUGGUAUCCCCAAGCCACGAGGGUUCAAAUCUUGGUGCUCGCAUUUAUUCCUGAAUUUAUUUCAUAUUUUUUGGCGAUGUGCAUUCAACGGGAGGAAAUGUUUCCGUCGACGACAAGGCGCCUAUGGUGACUUCGUAAAUCUCAAGAUCAUAUGUCGGCUUAGUAUCUUGAAAUUGCUCAUAAAAGUAUGGUGUGCGUGUAUGCAUUCAUAAGGAUGAGUGUAUGUGCAUGUAUAUGAAUGCUUGCGUCUGUGAUGUGUUAAAAAAACUAACAUGCCAACCCAAGCAUUUGUAGCACCUAGGGCCAGUCCUUUUUACGUCACAAUUCUCCAUAAUGUGAUUCUGGAAACAGCACACAGAAUUGUCUGGCCACAUAAUCAGUUGUCCGGUUCUUUUCUAUGAUUCUAGUCUGUGAUUGUUGUAUGUGUUGUAUGAUGAAAUGUCAGAAAUGCCCUUAGAUUGAACUGAUAUUUCUCAUAGUUUCAUGUCUAAUAUGAACAUGGAAGCGGGUUGUAAAUUUCAUAUAACUGGAAUGUGCCGCACUAUCUCAAGUUGCUUUCAGAUGCUUCACUUUCUCCAUCUACAACAUCCCAUGCCAAUGUUUUAAUGUAUACAACAUCCAUAUAUGAAUGGAACAGUAGCACACAGAAGAUCUGUCAUCUACAAAAUUCACAGCGAAGCGAACAAGCAAAACAACAGCCCACACAGCGAACAAGCAAAACAACAGGCUAGCUGUUGACCGCACACAACGAAGCAGCAGCAGCGCAGGCGUGCUGCAUCCCAAAGCGCGGUGGUGGCCUGGUUGUUGGCCACACAACCUGUCCGUCGUAGGGAACCGCUCGCCGACGGAUCAGACGGUGCCACGACGGGGCAUCCGGCUGGCGGCGCCCUCUCCUCCUCCCGCGGGUAGGUGGCUGGGGAUCGAGGAAACCCUAUCGGGGUGGUGCCCGGGGAGUCAAGCGACAAAGGCCAACCAGAUUUGUUUUCGCUCGUGAGCUGUCAUUCGGCCGGAGUGGCAUUUUGCAUGUAAUUCGGUGCUCCAAUAGGGGUAGAGACCUAAAACAAACUGUUACCUUUUGCGGGAUCGACCAGAAUCGUGGUUUUCUGGUGAUUUUUGUUUGCAUGCCGAUUCUCGUAUGAUUUUGAAGAAGCAAAUUGAGUUCUUUUGCGAUUUCCGAUUCUCCAAACGUGAUUGCUGCGAAUCACCUCAAAAGAACUGGCCACUAGUAACUUGUAUUUUCGUUCUCACUUGACAUGGCACUCAAUCUCGACGGUGUCCUCUUCUUAUGGUGUGUGUGGCCUUGUUGAUGCAAGUCCAUAGUGUGGCACUUUUAUGGACAUAUUGUAACGGUUUUCGUCCGAAUUUUCGUUAGUUAGAGCAUCUCCAGCCGUUUGGCCCCCCAGCGCACCCGACGGAUGCCUUUUGGCGUUUGCGCCGACGCUUUUUCCACCCUCGGGCGAGCAAAUUUCCAACCGCGCCCCCAGUUAGAGCAUCUCCAGCCGUCUUUCCUGCUGCCAAAAAAAUGUCGCUAGUUCGGCGAUCAUCAUGCCACAAGUUGGCGAUCAGCAUGCCACAGUUCGGCGAUCAUCAUGCUACAAGUUGACGAUCAGCAUGCCACAAUUCGGCGAUCAAACACGCCCAUUAGUUCAGUGAUCAAAAGGAAUGAAUCAUAGACAUGGAACAAAUCAAAUGGUCGGCUCCUCUGCCGCGGGACUGGCCGGGGUCGGCGUGCGCGUGGGCGUAGUCGGGCUCGGUCUCGGUGUCGGCGUAGUCGGGCUCGGUGUCGGCGUGAUUUCUGUGCUCGGGCUCAGGCUGGGCGUCGUCGUUGGUGUUGUCCUCGUGGUCGCCGCCAGCGCGGGCAUCUCAUUUAAGAUGAGGCCGCGCUCCACGAGGUACCACGCCUUCACCUGCUCGUCCAUCUGCCGCCAUCAAGAAUGACAGGUCGGUGUUCCUCUUCUUCGCGACGACGUUGGUUCUCAGAAGGUCGAGCUUGUGUCCUGCUUCGUCAUCAACGUCAACCACUGCACGUCGGAUUUCUCCUCCCUCUUGGCGGUGUUGUUCUUGGCGUCGGCGUACAUUGCUCGAUCGAAGAUUGCAGCCGUUCGACUACGGGGUCAUGCCCCUCGUUGUCUUGGCUCUUUUGUUGCCAUCGGGGCGCCCUUCUGCCGCAGCCGGGGAAGGCGUGUCCGGAUAGUAGGCCCCCUUGGCCUUGGCGAGAGCGAGCCGAACGUCCCUCCACUUCUCGCGCGACUCUAUCCUAGAGAACACGUGAAGGAACUUGAACUCUUGGUCCUUGUUGUCUUGGUGAUACAUGUUGAACAUCCUAACCAUCUGCAUAGCCGCGGACAAAACGUGUCGGCAAAGUACACGACGACGCAAUGAACUGAGGCCGGCAAACUAUGUCCAUACCUGACCCUCGAUGUUGGUGCCGCUUUUCGGGCGACCAGCGGCCUCCUCGACGAUCACAUGCCACUUGUUGCAGGCCGUAUGGAUCGCCAACAAGUGGUUCGACAUGGCCUUCUCGUCGCGGUCCUUGUGGAUGCUGACGAAGUCGGGGUCGACCAGCUUGCGUUCGUCGAGCGCCGUCUUGAUUCUCCUCCAGUACAUGUCGAUGUUCUGAUUCGUGCCGGUAAUCGAGUCGGUGCUGACGGUCUUCCUUGGACGUCCACUUUACGUGAGGUUCGCCCGUCCCGGCUUCGACGCCCGCUUCUUCUUUCUCCUUUCAGCGCUGGUUCUGGAUCCGCCUCCGCGCGUUGUUCCUCCCCAUCCUCAUCCUCCUCGGCGUCGUCGAGCUCGUCGUCCAUGUCGACGGCAAUGUCCAUCCUUUCAUCUUGCACGUCGAACCCCAGACAUGACACGGUGGCGACGAAGCCGCUCAUGAUGAUCUCGUCCAUGUCGGCGUCGGUGUAGCUAAAUUGUGGCGCCAAGCCAAGUACAAAGGGUAGGGCAACCCGGCGCGGGCGGGGCUGAUGAGUACGCCAGCGGCGAGUAGUUGUACUUGGUGUUGAGACCAACGUUGAACGCAUGGGAGGGAGUAACUGGUCGGGGUUGAAACCGGAGGGGGAGGAACGCUGCGGCGCGCCAUGCGGGAAGGUGAUGUUGGGGUUGAAACCGCCAUGUGUGUCGCUGUCAGAGUAGCCACACGAGGGUGCGUACCCCUAGGAGGGCGGCAACGACAGAGAGAAGUUGGCCGACGACGCGACGCUCGCUCCCCCACGCGACCUGCGGGUAGUGGUCAGGCUGAUUCAUCAUCUCCGUGCAAGGCACCCUGUCCGUGCUCGGCCGUCGCCGUCGCGUCGCUAGCCUUCUUGGCGAUGAGACUGUUCCGCCGGUCGGUUGUGAUCGCCUCCCGACGCUGGACAUUCGUAUUCCACACGAUGUUCGACACGCCGGCGGUCUUACAUCGACAUCCUCAACUUUGGCUGGGUGGAAUCGACAGCAGCAGCGAGGCAAGGGGCAGAAUACCUCUUCGAUGGCAUGACAGCCGAAUGAAGGGAGCAGGAAGAGAAUGACGGGAGCGACCAGGGAGAAGGGGAAGCAAUGAGGAAAAUGGAGGGAAGGUGGAAAAAGCGACAGGAAUAGGCCCAUCUAUCGCCGACAACACGAGCCUUUUCACUUCGGCCGAUGCCCUAGACAACCACCGACAGGCUGGGUUCGGCUCGAGUUCACCGGUCAUCAUUUCGACCCAAAUCAGCGAUAAACGAGGAAUUGGGGGCUUGGCUGGAACGAUUUUUCACCAUCGACACUAAAAAAGACGCACUACGAGGCCUGUUGGGGGCGAGUGGAGAUGCUCUUAACCAGGCAACUCCAUUCCACCUUUUUUUUAACGAAUCAAGCCUUAAAAGACCGCAUUUAAAUAAAAAAUGGUUAGCCCGAAUCUUGUGCCACAAAAACCAAAAUGGGCUGAUUACAUAAACGUUACCGCAGAUUAUUCUGAAGAAGGCACGGGUGCUUGUGCCUACGAGAAUGUCUUGCCCUUCCUUGCAGGCGGCGGAUGCUAUGAACUUGGCGGGACGAAACUGCUAGAAUUAAUAAUUACCAUCCGGGCCCACUAAAUUAUCAUCCCAUCCCAGCCAACCAAAAAACUCUACAGUACAACUUAUCAUCCCAGCCCACCAAAAAAAUCGUAAGGCAUGCCCCCGCCUUCGAAGCCGUGCUUCAAAGCUAAAUCCCUGGAUUAGCCUCAAGUUUUCAUGUCAGUCGGUUAGGAUCAAAUCCAUGCAUAACUCCAUCCUUCAUAAAAUUAAAGAAGCCGUUUGCAGGUACAUCAUCAAUCUUCAAAAGUGACAGUGUCAGUCAGGAUGCACACCUGAAUCCAUCCUUCCAGCAAGGCUGCAACUACUGAAGGGUGUGUUUGUAAGUUACAUCAAUCUUGAAAAAUGGUUGUUAACAGUGCAAGCUCAGNNNNN